UACGGAGGAUCCAAGCGUUAUCCGGAUUUAUUGGGUUUAAAGGGUGCGUAGGCGGCCUGUUAAGUCAGGGGUGAAAGACGGUAGCUCAACUAUCGCAGUGCCCUUGAUACUGAUGGGCUUGAAUGUACUAGAGGUAGGCGGAAAUGUGACAAGUAGCGGUGAAAAUGCAUAGAUAUGUCACAGAACACCAAUUGCGAAGGCAGCUUA
This 207-nucleotide ribosomal RNA is filed under the name uncultured bacterium. Its description in RNAcentral is "partial 16S ribosomal RNA". It matches the Rfam family "Bacterial small subunit ribosomal RNA", at positions 524 to 728 of the family's 1533-position model. The record is from RNAcentral.